This 326-nucleotide ribosomal RNA is filed under the name uncultured eukaryote. RNAcentral's name for it is "partial 18S ribosomal RNA". It matches the Rfam family "Eukaryotic small subunit ribosomal RNA", at positions 1470 to 1796 of the family's 1831-position model. The record is from RNAcentral.
CCCUUAGAUGUUCUGGACUGCACGCGCGCUACACUGAUGCACUCAACGAGUUUACGACCCUGCCCGAUAGGGUUGGGUAAUCUUUUUAAAAUGCAUCGUGAUGGGGAUAGAUUAUUGCAAUUAUUAAUCUUCAACGAGGAAUUCCUAGUAAGCGCGAGUCAUCAGCUCGUGCUGAUUACGUCCCUGCCCUUUGUACACACCGCCCGUCGCUCCUACCGAUUGAGUGCUCAGGUGAAUAAUUCGGACUGCAGCAAUGUUUGGAUCCCGAACGUUGCAGCGGAAAGUUUAGUGAACCUUAUCACUUAGAGGAAGGAGAAGUCGUAACA